Molecule: long non-coding RNA, 1776 nt
Organism: Mya arenaria
Lineage: Eukaryota; Metazoa; Mollusca; Bivalvia; Myida; Myidae
Exons: 3
Source: RefSeq, a predicted model, not a curated record
UCUAAAGUUGUUACAGUUAUUAAAAGGUUAAUCUUCUACUAUUUGCCUCGUGUGGUUCCUUACUGGCGUGGUGGCAGCGGUUGGUUGUAUACGAACGUCCUUCGUUCCUUGCAAACUCAGGAUACGUAAAAUACUUGGCAGAAUAUGGUGGGAGACUGGGAGUGACACAGUGGACACUGUUUCCUGGAUAAUGAAGACGGUGUUGACAACAAAAUCUGGCCCGCCAAUACUGGACAAACUCCACUUGAUAAACAUCUUUUUCAUUACAGGAUGUCUACAAUUGAACCCAGCAACACACUUUAGAAACGCAAGGAAAUGGAGGGGGCCAUUUAGAAGUGGCUUUCCGAGUCUCGAGGUCGUGAUGUUGGCCGCAAAGACAGAGCAAGGGUCAACCCGAUGCUUCCUGAGUAGAAUGUUGACUUAUUUACUUACCAUAAAAAUUCGGAUUUACGACUCAGAAUUAAACCAACAAAAAUUGUCAGAAUAUUUUUCAAAUUGAUCAUGUACAAUAUGUAUGCUUCUAUUGUUUUAUCAUAAACACAUCAAUGUCGUGUGACAUGUUAAGUAGUUUGUAUGCAAAAUGUAUCACAAUAAUGUAAUAAUGAGAUAUCUCCAACUUUUUCCCUAAAUUUUCAUAUCGUUAAGGGUUGCAAGAAGAGCAUUUCUUAUCUAUAUUUAUAGGCAAAUCCAUGUUGCUUAUACUUUUUUGUAUAAACAUAAGACAAACUGUCCAUGACAAAUAAGAGACCCAUCAACAAGAAAAAUAUGUUUAGUUCACAUUUGGAUGAUUGUUCUAAAGAAGACCCUUAAUAAGCGAAACCUGUUGGCAUUGAAUAAUUUUCAUAAUAUCUCGGAAUGAUGUCGGUUUUUGUUUUACUAUAAUAUUUUCUUAUCCUGGGUACACCAUUUUAAACUUUAAACACUCACAAUAAACUUAUUUUAGGAUGAAGUAAGAAAUUUGGCUGAAUGAAAUAAACUACUUAAGUGUGUUACGCUUUUCGGGCCAGAUGACUUUAUAUCAACCCCAUUCAGUCAUGUCAGUUCACUAGUCAGUAUUUCAAGGUGCAUUAAUUGUGCCAAUUAACUUGAAACUGUUAUUUCAUUUCUGGUUUGAAACGCUGCUUUAUGUCUAAGCAAUAUUGUUAUACUUGAAUGUGUAGAUGCACUCCAUGGUCUGUUUAUUAGAAUUGUGCGUCUUUCGAUUAGUGUAUUUUUUAACACAUUCGUUAAAGCAUUUGGAGCUCCUCGGCCAUUUUUAUCGAAAACAACCUCAGAUGUAUGCCGGUACAUCAGUUGAAGUAGUUUGUAAAUUUCUUAAUUAUAUCAUUAAUUAAAUGUAGGGUUUUAGAAUUGUGUUUAUUGAUCUAAGUUUAAAUUGAUUGCCAGUGAAGUGUAUUAUUGCAAACAUAAUUAAGAUUCCCAGGAGUUAAGUCAUAAAGUUUAACUGCUAAAAAAUUUACUACGCGAUCUACUUGCAGCGGACUUAAACAUACUGCUUUUUGAGUAUCCAAAUAUAUCAGAGGUUGUUUUUGAUAAAAUGGUCGAGGAGCUCCGAAUGUCGUUAAAGCCUUUAAAAGGUGUGUUUUUACAUGUAAUUUUUGACACGCUUUUUCAGUUAGACAGCUUUAACUGACAGAUACAAUCAAUAAAACAAAGUUUUCACUUAUUAUUAAGUUAUCAAUCAAAUUACCAUAUAAAUGUACUAGAUCUUUUUAGCUUGGUAUUGUCAAAUCAAACUGAAAAAAGUGUCAUAAUUUCAGUCACAUUUUUCUUGUG